CCCAUCAUCUUCACUGCCCAGGGGAGAAGCUCCAUGGGAUGCCUUUGUGAUGACUGUAUCUUCAGACAGACCCAAGGAAAAUGACGUUUCUUGAAAGAUCACUGGCAACAUCUCUUUAAAAUGACCCAUUUCGAGGGUCCCGCAAAAUACACAACUACACCGAGGUCGGCAGUAGUUUUGCCCGUAUAAAAUAUGGCGGAAAGCUUUCUGGUCUCUAAGGAAACAUUACGUAGUCAAAGCGGUGGAUUACACUGCGCACGCGUAGGGGCACGCGCCACAGGAAGUCGUGAUGACCCAACCACAGCGCGUGAUUUAGAACGCGUGCGCAGUAGGCUCAGCUGGCGGCUGUGUUGUGAAAAUGGUGGAGAAGAAAACUUCGGUUCGCUCCCAGGACCCUGGACAGCGGCGGGUGCUGGACCGGGCGGCCCGGCAACGCCGCAUCAACAGGCAGCUCGAGGCCUUGGAGAAUGACAACUUCCAGGACGACCCCCACGCAGGGCUCCCCCAGCUCGGCAAGCGGCUGCCUCAGUUUGAUGAUGAUGCAGACACUGGAAAGAAAAAGAAGAAAACUCGAGGUGAUCAUUUUAAACUUCGCUUCCGAAAAAACUUUCAGGCCUUGCUGGAGGAGCAGAACCUGAGUGUGGCUGAGGGCCCCAACUACCUGACGGCCUGUGCAGGACCCCCAUCCCGGCCCCAGCGCCCCUUCUGUGCUGUCUGUGGCUUCCCCUCCCCCUACACCUGUGUCAGCUGCGGCGCCCGGUACUGUACUGUGCGCUGCCUGGGCACCCACCAGGAGACCAGGUGCCUGAAGUGGACUGUAUGACCCUAGGCGUCCACAGAGAGGAAGGCCUUGCAUCACCUGGCCUCGGAGAGGGCAUCACCGAAAGGAAAGGCGCUCCCCCUGGACCAAGAGAGGAGCCCAACGAAGCUCGUGUCCUGUCCUCUAGGGAAGACCAGUCUUGCUCCCAGGGACUGUGGCAGGGCAGUGGGCCGAGCCCUCAGAGCGCUGUUGUAAUAAAAGCCACCUCCCAGAAAUUGUGAGGAUUAAAUGAGACUGUACCAAGCCCAGUGCCUGGCGUCUGGCUGUAAGCUCUGGAGGGCAGAAACUCUCACCUUUGGAGUCCCUCCCACUGCCUGGCUCCUAGUGCGGGCUCAAGAAACAUUGCUGAUGGACUGAUUUGUAACCAAGGGAUCUGCUCUCCCCACCCCGUACCAGAGAGGGCCAGCAUGGACGGAAACUCCCAGCAGUUGUAGACUCCAAGGGAGUCGGUGGCACAGCUGUACCAGAGGUUCUCGAAGAUGGUGCUGGUGGUGAUGACGUUCCCGUGCACGGUGGACACUCGCCAGCUGCUGUGUGUCAGGGUCACCCCUAGCAUCAGCAGCCCCAGGGCUGCGAUGAAGAAGCCGAAGAUCUCCACAGCCACCGACAUGGUGGGACACAGGCCCCGGGGGGAGCCUGGGGCCCCAGAGAAGGGGAGGGGCUGAGCCCCAGGGGAACUUGAAGGGGCUUUGGCUAAGGACGGCGGUUAAGGCAGGCUGGGGAGAGAGAGGGAGGCAGCCUGCAGCCUCUGCCUCUUCCUUGGCCCAGGUCUGUCUCUGGUUGGUCUCUUCCCUCUCUCUGGGUCUCUCCGCUUCCCUGCAGGUCGGUCAGAGGAGUGAGACAAGAGUGCACGGCAGCUGUUGAAGAGGAGAUGGACGGAAUAAACGAAACGGGCCAAAAGUC
Lagenorhynchus albirostris (white-beaked dolphin) is the source of this 1723-nucleotide RNA transcript. It is a transcript of the gene named zinc finger HIT-type containing 1, with no coding region annotated. The record is from RefSeq and is a predicted model, not a curated record. The transcript has 8 exons. Lineage: Eukaryota; Metazoa; Chordata; Mammalia; Artiodactyla; Delphinidae.